Non-coding RNA from Marchantia polymorpha subsp. ruderalis, 90 nucleotides. The record is from the annotation of a GenBank genome assembly. NCBI's taxonomy places the organism in Eukaryota, Viridiplantae, Streptophyta, Marchantiopsida, Marchantiales, Marchantiaceae.
GAUUAUCUUUUCUCAUCUCAUGACGUAUUUCAUAGCCCCGUGCUUGUUCGCGGAGCCUUGUAACGCGUCAUGAAAUAGGAAGAGGCAAUC